Molecule: ribosomal RNA, 497 nt
Filed under: uncultured bacterium
Lineage: Bacteria
Description: partial 16S ribosomal RNA
Rfam family: Bacterial small subunit ribosomal RNA
Source: RNAcentral
GAUGAACGCUGGCGGCGUGCCUAAUACAUGCAAGUCGAGCGAACGGACGAGAAGCUUGCUUCUCUGAUGUUAGCGGCGGACGGGUGCGUAACACGUGGAUAACCUACCUAUAAGACUGGGAUAACUUCGGGAAACCGGAGCUAAUACCGGAUGAUAUUUUGAACCGCAUGGUUCAAAAGUGAAAGACGGUCUUGCUGUCACUUAUAGAUGGAUCCGCGCUGCAUUAGCUAGUUGGUAAGGUAACGGCUUAACAAGGCAACGAUGCAUAGCCGACCUGAGAGGGUGGUCGCCCACACUGGAAGUGAGACAGGGCCCAGACACCUACGGGAGGCAGCAGUAGGGAAUCUUCCGCAAUGGGCGAAAGCCUGACGGAGCAACGCCGCGUGAGUGAUGAAGGUCUUCGGAUCGUAAAACUCUGUUAUUAGGGAAGAACAUAUGUGUAAGUACCUGUGCACAUCUUGACGGUACCUAAUCAGAAAGCCACGGCUAACUACGUG